Molecule: ribosomal RNA, 370 nt
Filed under: uncultured organism
Description: bacterial SSU rRNA
Rfam family: Bacterial small subunit ribosomal RNA
Source: RNAcentral
CGGAGGAUCCAAGCGUUGUCCGGAUUUAUUGGGUUUAAAGGGUGCGUAGGUGGAUAAUUAAGUCAGGGGUGAAAGCCUGCAGCUCAACUGUAGAACUGCCCUUGAAACUGAUUAUCUUGAAUGUGGUUGAGGUAGGCGGAAUGUGUCAUGUAGCGGUGAAAUGCUUAGAUAUGAUACAGAACACCAAUUGCGAAGGCAGCUUACUAAACCAUUAUUGACACUGAGGCACGAAAGCAUGGGGAGCAAACAGGAUUAGAUACCCUGGUAGUCCAUGCCCUAAACGUUGAUAACUCGUUGUUGGCGAUAUACAGUCAAGCGACUAGGCGAAAGUCGUUAAGUUAUCCACCUGGGGAGUACGUCCGCAAGGAUG